GACGAACGCUGGCGGCGUGCUUAACACAUGCAAGUCGAACGGUAAGGCCCUUCGGGGUACACGAGUGGCGAACGGGUGAGUAACACGUGGGUGAUCUGCCCUGCACUUCGGGAUAAGCCUGGGAAACUGGGUCUAAUACCGGAUAGGACCACUGCCUGCAUGGGUGGUGGUGGAAAGCUUUUGCGGUGUGGGAUGGGCCCGCGGCCUAUCAGCUUGUUGGUGGGGUGAUGGCCUACCAAGGCGACGACGGGUAGCCGGCCUGAGAGGGUGACCGGCCACACUGGGACUGAGGUACGGCCCAGACUCCUACGGGAGGGAGCAGUGGGGAAUAUUGGACAAUGGGCGCAAGCCUGAGGCAGCGACGCCGCGUGAGGGAUGACGGCCUUCGGGGUGUAAACCUCUUUCAGCACCGACGAAGCGCAAGUGACGGUAGGUGCAGAAGAAGGACCGGCCAACUACGUGCCAGCCGCCGCAGUAA
RNAcentral lists this ribosomal RNA (478 nucleotides) under uncultured bacterium. Its description in RNAcentral is "partial 16S ribosomal RNA". It matches the Rfam family "Bacterial small subunit ribosomal RNA", at positions 28 to 523 of the family's 1533-position model. The record is from RNAcentral.